UUUUGCCUGUGAUGAUUAAAGUUAUCCCUGUCAGAUAAAGAUGUUGACAUAGAUUAUCUGAGGCAAAU
Haliotis rufescens (red abalone) is the source of this 68-nucleotide small nucleolar RNA. RefSeq annotates it as small nucleolar RNA R38. NCBI's taxonomy places the organism in Eukaryota, Metazoa, Mollusca, Gastropoda, Lepetellida, Haliotidae. The record is from RefSeq and is a predicted model, not a curated record. The transcript has a single exon.